GUGAAGAAGAAGAGGAAGAAGAAGAAAGAAAUCAAGAACAAGAGAAAUGAUGGGCUUGUAGGUGUGAAGGCUCAGAGAGGGAGUCUACAAUUGCAUCUACAGAAUCCUAUGAAGAAGCAGAGAUCGCCGGAGGAGCAAUCAUCGACGGCGGCACACCCGAAGAGGAUGAUUGCAAAUGGGUGCUCGAAGGAAAAACUUAGAAGGAUUAAAUCGGAGGAGAUCCCUAAGACUGGUGGGAGUGGGAUCAUCAAACAGGUCUUCAGAGGUAAGGUUCGACGGUAUAAGCUCUUGGAUGAAGUCUCUAGCUAGUUUUUUUGAUGAAGUACUUGAUUAGCAUAAAAGCCAACCCUUAGCAGAGAUUAAGAAUUUGUUCUUAAAUGUAAUGAAAUU
Telopea speciosissima is the source of this 390-nucleotide long non-coding RNA. RefSeq lists it as uncharacterized. NCBI's taxonomy places the organism in Eukaryota, Viridiplantae, Streptophyta, Magnoliopsida, Proteales, Proteaceae. The transcript is spliced from 3 exons. The record is from RefSeq and is a predicted model, not a curated record.